This 510-nucleotide ribosomal RNA is filed under the name uncultured bacterium. RNAcentral describes it as "partial 16S ribosomal RNA". It matches the Rfam family "Bacterial small subunit ribosomal RNA", at positions 28 to 507 of the family's 1533-position model. The record is from RNAcentral.
GACGAACGCUGGCGGCGUGCUUAACACAUGCAAGUCGAACGAAGAGCGAUGGCAGCUUGCUUCCAUCAAUCUUAGUGGCGAACGGGUGAGUAACGCGUAAUCAACCUGCCCUUCAGAGGGGGACAACAGUUGGAAACGACUGCUAAUACCGCAUACGAUCUAACCUUGGCAUCGAUGAGGGAUGAAAGGUGGACUCUAUUUAUAAGCUAUCACUGAAGGAGGGGAUUGCGUCUGAUUAGCUAGUUGGAGGGGUAACGGCCCACCAAGGCGAUGAUCAGUAGCCGGUCUGAGAGGAUGAACGGCCACAUUGGGACUGAGACACGGCCCAGACUCCUACGGGAGGCAGCAGUGGGGAAUCUUCCGCAAUGGACGGAAGUCUGACGGAGCAACGCCGCGUGAGUGAUGACAGCCUUCGGGUUGUAAAGCUCUGUUAAUCGGGACGAAAGGCCUUCUUGCGAAUAGUUAGAAGGAUUGACGUUACCGGAAUAGAAAGCCACGGCUAACUACGUG